This 16111-nucleotide long non-coding RNA is filed under the name Homo sapiens (human). Its description in RNAcentral is "non-protein coding lnc-CXorf36-46:9". Lineage: Eukaryota; Metazoa; Chordata; Mammalia; Primates; Hominidae. The record is from RNAcentral.
ACUCUCCUGCCUGGGCUGCUGCUCAACGGGGGCUGGGGGUGUGUGGGGCGGGGGUGGUCUGUCCAGUGAUUCAGCCACAUGUGAUAGAUGACCAAGUGACUGCUUUCUUGGAGUCCGCACACCAGUGGAAGACUCUCAAAGUGGUUGUGACCGACUUGAUCAAACUCUAGGCUUCCUGAACUGGAAUGAAAUGCAGAUAACUCUUUAGAAAACUUUUGUAGGAAAAGCGCCUCGUGUGAUCUGGAACAAAGACGUUUUAUAAUCAGAUUUAUCAAGCUGCGAAGAGGGAGUUUUAGUGAACGGAAGCAGCAGCAUUCUGUCACCAGGAAAUACUCCUUUAUCCAGAAUUGGUAAGUGAAAAGUGGCAUUGCUCCCUAAUAGAUAUCAUAUGCGUGUGUGGGAAUUGAAAAAUUGUUCACAGACCCCUAACAACUGUGUUGAACAGAGAACACAUAAACAGUGAGGAGUUCUAAAAAAGAGCAGCACGAGAAUACCGCAUAAAGACUGAGAAGAAGCCAGGUAAUUAACAAAAAUGAGCUGAGUGCUAUCAGUUUAGCUAAACAUAUGUAAUACAGCUAGAUUUGGUUGUUUUAUUUUUUCUUGUUAGUGGAGGAGAAACAUAAAAUCAGAAUGGGCUGUUUAGUAGAAUUGCGACAUUAACUUUCCAUGGAUGUAGAUUUCCAUUUAGUCUGAAUAGCAUGUAUGAAAUUUGAAGGGAUGCUUUCAGAAUUAGUCUACUUGCCCUCCUUUCCUUUCCUCUGCAUUAAGAUGUCAAGUAUUUAGUUAGAACCUUACAAGAUGAAAGUUGUACAAAAUGAAAGUUCAAGUAAUGCGUCGGAAACACCUCUCCUGAUUGGGAAGGGUAGAUUACAAUGGCAAUAGAUUUUUGUUUUUUGUUUCUUACAUUUGUGUCACGAAUUUUAAGUUUGUUCUAUUGGAUUACAUUAGUACAGCAAAAGGGGGGUUAUUUCUAUCUAUAUGGUUCAUGACAUUUUGAGAGGUCGUGAUUAGUAGUUCUUACUGGUUUCGUAUGCGUGUUCCUGCCUGUUGAAUUCAGUUUUCUAAUCUUGAAUCUGAGCUGCCUUUAUGUUAAAGGGUUCUAGAAAAAGACAAUAAAGCUUUGAAUACCCGUGUUAUAUACAACAGGUUCCUGUUCAUGAUGUAUAAGGUAACGCAAUUUUAUUUUAGGCAUGAAUGUCUAAUUUCUUGAUUUGGCUUCUUAAGAAUAUACUGAAAAGGUUGAAUAGAAUAAGAAAAAGAACAUUAGAAAAGAAUGGUGGGUGACUGCCUGAUUUUACUAGUUUCUUAUUGGUCAAUAGAAGUAAUCAUGUGAUGUCUACUUAUAGAAGCAAAUGGAAAAAAUUUUUCUUCUUUAACUGCUAACAAGUAUAUAGGCAAUUUUAGCAAUCUUCAUUUAUUAAUUUGAAUAUAUAAUUAUAACUGUUAUUAACAGAAUAAGUUUUGGGUAAUAUAGGAAAUAAUAAUUAUUUCUUUCUUUUUAAGCCAAAUUGGAAGUUGAAUCUACUUUUGGUUCCUGUUCUGUUACUUUCAAAAUCUUAAAAUCCUUAACUCAAAAGGGAAAAUGUAUAAUAAAACAGGAUAGCAGUGCUGAAAUUUCUCUCUCUUAGCAGUGGAGUGGGAUGAGGGUGGGGGAGGGAGAUGAAUCUAGUGAGAUAUAUUAAUUGUUUUUUCCCCCUCUUGUAUACUUGGAUAACUUUUGAGAUCAGUUUUCUCAGACUAGCAGCUCUCAAGACUUUUGCAUAAGUAUUUAUUCUUAAAGAAAUAGAAAGACAAGAUAAGCACGGCUCUUAAGGGCAGGUCCUCCAAUAAGUCAGGAAACGGGUGAUCCAAACUUGUGAACAUGACAAGUCAAUUUGACUUAAUUAAGGAAUGGCAUUAGUUUUCUUGAAGCACAUGAAUUUAUAGGUUUUUAGAGUCUUGAAGACAGAAAAAUGGCAACAAAGCAUUAAGGUAUUUACAGAUAAUUUAUAUUCAACUGCUAGCUUAUGUUUUCAACUCUGUAUUUCAUGUAAGUAAAUACUUGGGGAGAACAUGAUGAUUUAAUAAUCUGGAUAAAUACUGCCGUGCCUGUUGGAAAAAAGCCUCUAAUUUUUAGGUUUUCCUCAUCCAUUUAAAAUCCAUUGUUUUGAAUGACAAAAUGUGAUAGAAACAGGUUGGAACAGUAAAUGCUAGAAAGUAUAUCCCAGAAGAAUUAACUGAGAACUUCAUGUUUUCAAUUCUAUUUGCCGUUCUCUGUUCUCAAUUUGUUAAUUUUUAAAAGUACAUCGAAAGUGAGUAGCAUUGCUUGCUCUGAAUUCUCCUCUGGGGUCAUUGAGAGUAUUCACAUUUUCGUAUACCCUGUUAAAAGAUAUUAAUGCCAUGCAUAUGCCUUUGUCUUUGUGGGUGUGUAAAACAACAAACUGAAGGGAUCUGGUCAAGAGACAGACCUCAAAAUAAUUUCUCUGAAAUAGUGUUUGAAUUUGCAUGUUCGGGAACGUAAAUGCUUUCCCUUUGGGCUUGUUUCUUAAGUUUUUGGUGUAGUAUACAGUUUUACCCAAUUAAAUUUUUCUUUUGAGGUCUGUAUAUGUAUGGGUGUCUAUAUUUGAUUUGAAGGGGGAGUUUUAAUCAUUAGUGAAACAAGUGGCUGUUUGUUAGAACCCAGAUAAGCCUCAUAGUGUUGUUCCUAUGACAACUGAGUAGUUGGGUGUUGAAAUGUAGCUUUAAGUUCUUGGUUUGGAAAUGUCAUUCAGACCUCCCACUAUAGUCUCAUUGAGUAGGAGGAUAAUGAGAAGGGGAAAAACCAUGAAGCAACAUAAGUAUCUCCGUUCGUUUCAUGUCUUCCUGACUUGUCUUUGUGUACAGGAUCGCCAUGGGAGUGGUAAACAUAGGUCUUGAACAAAGCAAUACUUCAAUUAAAAAAAUACAUGGAAAGGGUCAGAAAAGUUGGGGAAGAUAAAUAACAACACAUGGGGGCAAUAAAGAGGCAAGAGAAAUAGGCUUCCAUGGGUUUCUGCAAAUCCUUUAUCCAGUGCUGACCAGCAGUGAGAACAUCUUGAACCAGUUAUUGUAUAGCUCUUCAAGAGCUGUGAAUUUCCUUAAAAUGCAAUGUGGAGAAAAUUCCUUUGGUAGCAGGAUGGUUUACCACUUUGGCAUAACGUUUAUUCAUCUCCCCCAGGCAGACUACAGAGGAUACUGUGUUCUUUUAAGGCACAUGUUUUUAAACCAGUUGUUCAUUUGUCAUUUAAUAGCUUUUGUCUUUUUUCUAUGGGAAAGACAAGGUUGUACUAUUAAAAUAGUGAUAAAAUUUAAGUAUUUUAUUCUAUAUUCAAAAAGUGCUUUUGAAAAGUACUUAGAAAAAGAUUGUUUGAGACCUGUUGUUUGUGGAAAUGUCUGUCAAUGGAGAAUCUAUGGAGCACUGUAUUUGAGGAGAGGGAUUGUUCAGACUAAUAUUUGGCAUAGCUUAAUUAUGCAGUUGUUGAUUUUCCAUGUCUGAAGGUCUUCCUAUUUCCUACUCCUAAAUAGUUUUAACUAUUUAUUUGGUUGCUAGAACCUCCUGAAGUUAGAAAGAAAAAGAUUUCAGUGGGGUUAGUCUCUUAAUAAAUAUAUGCCCACCAUCUCUUCUGUAAUCCAAAAAGCUCUGAAAAUCAAAAGAUUUUCAUGUAACAAAUUUGGCAGCAAAUCCUGACCUGAACUGAUGUGAAGCUAAUGAUAGUCUUUGUUUAGCUCGCUCAGAAUGAAUCUUUGUAUGUUUUACUGUAGAAGUAUUAAUGUGUUUGAUCACGGAGUAUUGUUCCAGACUCCCCUAGAGGUUUAUAUACUAUAUUGAAUAGUCAACCUAUUACCUUUAUAAAAUAAUAAUAAUAAUCAAUCUGAGUGUCAGGUAAGCAUUUGUGGACCCAUAAUUACUGACAUACAUUGAGUUCAUAUUAUAUGCCGGGUACCAUUCUAAAUGAAUCACUGGCAUCUAAGAACAGUGUCUGGCACAUAGUAGGUACUUAGUAGACACGUUUUGGUAGGAACUGCUUUACACUUAUUAAAUUCUUUAACUCACAAAAACAGUAUACAGGAAGUAGCGGAGCCAAGAUUUGAAAGCAGACAGUCUAGCUCCAAUCUGCUCUUAAUGAUUCUGAUGCAGGUACAAGAGAGGACUGGAGAUGUGGCACUGGACUUCUUAACUGAGUCAGAGGGGGUGUUUGAGUGAUUUACUUUAUUCAUAGUCACCCUAUACCUCCUACGAUCAAGAGCUGGUGGUAUCACCACUAUGGUCAUUAGCCGGGGCUGUGGUUGAAUGCUUAUAACAGGUUCUCCUGGGUGGGAGUGUAGGAAUUCCAGGGGUCUGAACUCUCCUCACAGGCUUCCCAAGGUGAUCUCCAUCAGUAAAUCAGCCCGACUUUUUCAUCUUGAAAAAUUAAGACAUAGGAAAUAACUCUUUCCUUAACCCUAAGGAAGUUUCCUUGAACAGUGGGAAAAACGUUUUUGUAGACAUUCCUUAGACCCCUUACCCAGCAGGAGGUGUGGAAUCAAUAAAGAGGGCAUGGGUCACCUCCAAGGUUGUGAGCUCCCUGGCUUGGGAACUACACUGGGACACAGCAGAGCCUCUUGGCAGAAAUCAGGCAGCCCAUGGAGCUUCAGCUGCAUGACUCUUUGAAUUCACAAAAGGAUACCUUUAACAGUACUUCUCAAAAAAUGUAUAUAAGGCAUGUCUCAAGUCCCUAUAUGUUUCUAGGGAUAAAAAAAUUCAUUUCAAACUGAUGGCAACCUCCCCAUUCUAUUCCCCAGCUUUCUAUCCUUCUUCCUGCUUAAUUUUUCUUCUUAGCACUUGCCUCUGUCUGACAUAUUGUAUGUCUUACUUAUUUAUUCAUUUGACAUUUUAAUUAGACACUAGCAGUAUUGUUUUCUUUGAAUACAUUUAAAGGUCCUAGAUUUAUUUCUUUUUGAUGCUCAUCUUCUAACUCAUUCCCUCCUAUCAAUCUCAGACUGCUGUAAAUAAAUGAUUUUUUGCCUUUUUUUUUUUUUUUUACUAUUAGUUAUCAUAUUUAUUUUUCUUAAACAAGCUGUACUGGUUAUACAGUCUGAAUUUGGAGAAUAGACGUCUUCAUUCAGGAGGGGAAAUUGAGCCAAGUUUGAAUAUAAUCAUUGGGUAACAAAUCCAGAAGAUUAAGUUACUAAGGAGAACAUGCAAAGUAAACACUUGCAUUUUAUGAACUACCUUCAAUUUAAAUAGACAACUGGGUAACUGUAUAUGACAUGUUUUGGGAGUAAGACCUGUUAAACCUACCUACUUCCUACUGUUUUCAUUUGAAAAAUAAAUCAAUUAUUAAACAGUUAUUCUACACAUUAAAGACUGUAAGUGAUUUAACCUUGAAUAUUUCCUGACUCAAGUUCUUAAAAUCCUCAACUCUAACCUCUUGUUUUUCAACCCCAUAUUUAUUCUAGUUUAUUCUUUCCAACAUAUUUAGGGCAAUCUAAAACAUAAAGUAAAAAAACCCCCACAUAUAUUAUUAACUAUAAACAAUGUGGUUAUGUAAAUGCAUCAUUUUAGUUGAUCUUUUUUCUUUAGCCUAGUUCUUUUUUUCUUUUCUUUUCUCUCUCUUUUUUUUUUUUUUUUUUUUUUUUUUGAGACAGAGUCUUGCACUGUCACCCGGCCUGGAGUGCAAUGGUGUGACCUUGGCUCACUGAAACCUCCACCUCCUGGGUUCACGUGAUUCUCCUGCCUCAGCCUCCCGAGUAGCUGGGAUUACAGGCACACACUGCCACGCCCGGCUAAUUUUUUUUUAUUUUUUAUUUAUUUAUUUUUUAUUUUUAGUAGAGACGGGGUUUCACUAUGUUGGCCAGGCUGGUCUUGAACUCCUGACCUUGUGAUCUGCCCGCCUCAGCCUCCCAAAGUGCUAGGAUUACAGGUGUGAGCCACCGCGCCUGGCCUAGACUAAUUCUUAAAGGAACAGAUUAGAUACAUACAAAAGUUGAAUUUAGUAUGCUUUUGUAAGUUAAUAUAAUGAUUGGGACAUUUUGUUUUCUUAGCUAUGCUUUAUAACAAAAUAGUUCUAGUUACUUUCUUUUAAAUGGUUACUAAAGUAAUAACUUGCUUUUUAAAAACAUAGUAUAACUAUUUAAGGUAGACUAUGAAGAGUAGGCUGAGGUUUCAUUUUAAAUUAUCUCCUCUUUCUGCCAUGGAAGAGUUUAAUUCCCCUGAUGUGCUUAUGGUAUUGAAAGCCCAUUGUUGGUGUUGGUAUUGAAAGAAAGCUUAGUUUUUCUGCGUUUCCUAAAAGGAGAGGGAAGAAAGAUUUUUAAAAGUGAAAAUCCAUUGAUUUUUUUUUUUCUUGAUUAGGAUUUGUAUAAUAUAUCUGAAGUGAGACUAGAGUUCUUAAAGUUGAGAGAAACAGUAAAUAUGUACACGCCCGGCAAAACUUUGCAGGGAACAUUCAGAGUUCGGAUUACCUGAAAAAAAUCUUGAAAGCUUCAGACAUUUUCCAGAGAGUGUUAGUGCGUGAAAGUGGUACCCAUGACCCCAAGAGGGUGUCCAUUCACAGCCUCCAUUGAAGUAGUUUACUCCCUAAGAGGCCCAGGCUUUGGAAAUAAGUAGAUUUGUGCUUUAAGCUCCCUUUGCCCCUUGCUAGCUGAGUAAGCUACUCCGCUAUUUCCCUGAGCCCCAGAGUGUAGAGCAUCAGAAGUAGUGCACAGGUUUGUUGUGUGAGAUAACACAUGUAAAGCACAUGCUGUGGGACCUGGAGUAAUGGUGCUUAACACACUUGCAUUCCCUUCCAAAAUCCCUUUAGGAACAGACUUCUUCAGUUUAGUCCUAAAGCCUGUAGAUCCAUGCUAAGUGAUAUGACUUUUUUUCACAUCAGAUUAAGCAAAACACUGAUGAUGGUGACUGUCGCUUAUUGUGCAGUUACCAUGUUCUGGACAGGCACUGUUGUAAGGGCUCUACCUGCAUCGACCCAUUUUUCCUCAUGACAAACUAUUGGUGCAAUUAUCAUGCCCAUUUCAUAGAUGAACACACAGAGGCACAGAGAGGUAAAGGAACUUACUUAGGGCCACUCAUCUGUCAUGGAACCAGAAUCUAAAUCCAAAUAGGCUGUUGCCAGUACAGAUGGUAAGUACAUGUACUUCUGGCAGGAAAGCAGAAUAAAAGUUGACUGAACCUGAAAGUCUCGGAAAUGGUCUUCUCAUUUCUAUUCUGUAAAGUGUCACGUCUUCUAGGCCUACCUCUGUCAAUAUUGAAAUACAAAAUUAACUUUUUCUGCUUUUUAUUUCACAAAUCAACGGGAACAGUCUUAGUCAUUUGUGUUUUAUGAGUUUUAAUUAGGCCACUGCAGUCCAGGAGGGGAAUUCCUUGUUUUCAGUUGAUCUCAUAUACUAACAAGUUUAAUCAUGUAACUUCCCCUAUUUUUUUCUCUAAUGUUUUCACUUGAAAGUGGGGGUGGGAGGGAGAAGUAUGUUAGCAUUUGAGUCCUAGGGAUGCACUUACAUCAACCUUUCUGGAAAUUCCUUCUUGCUGGUAUAGAACUAAUCCAUAGAAAAAUGAAAUGUGUAAGAAUCUGUAUUUACUAAUAUUUUUCUUCUUUAUCUCCAUCUAGUUCUGGAUAUUUUCUGGAGGAUGGGGUAAAACUUCUAGAUAAAGAAGUACAGGAAGCCAUCUAUGUGCAUAAAACCUUAUGUUUGGGUGUGGACUUAAUUUUCAGAAUAUGGGAAAGGGGUUUCACAUUGAGAAUUUCCUCUUUCUGAUGUAGAUUGAGAAUUUUGACUUAGAAGAUGAGGGCAUGUUAUCCUAGCCCGUGGGUUCAGAGUGCUUGGAAGUCUCUUUAAAAAAAAAAAAAAAUCCCCUGGCCUUGGACUGAGCCUGCUCUUGGAGGAUUUAUUAAUCAUGCCGGCCUUCAUUCUUUCCUUUGUUUGUUCAUUCCUUCAUUUGUCCAUACUCUCGCAUAAGUCAUUCAACAUCUACCUGCAAAUAGGUGAAAGAAAGGAUGGGAGUGAGAGUCCAUCAGGGGACGGGAGAGGAGAAGCAAUAAACUCACUCUAUGUUCCUUUCACCUCACUGACUGCAUCUUGUAUCUGAUUGUUUGUCCCUUUGGAGACAACGUAUAUUUCACAGACAGACACUCACAACACUCAUGAAGGUCUUUAAGCAUCUUCCUUUGGGAGCUGCAUUUCUUUUUUUAAAGUGAGAGGAGAAAAUGCUUGUGAGGGAAAAACAGUGCAGAGAAAUGGUUUUUCUUUCUUUCUUUUUAAUGUUGGCGGAAGAAGGGUUCAUAGUAGGGAACGUAUCAGUAAAUAUAAUCUAAGAGCACUCAUGCUUUCAAAUAAUUUCCUUGUUUAAAGAUAUUAAGUGCAGUAGCGUUUACAAUUAAUGAUCACAACCAGUUACAGAUUGCUUUGUUCUUUCUCUACUCCUGCUGCUUCACCUGCCUACGCUUAUAAUAAAAGAACAUUAAGAGACAACAAAGGCCAUCACAAAGAUGUCUUCAAAAAUAAUUUUAAAAUAGAAUUUUAAUUAAUUUAAAGGUAAGAAGUGUUGCCAUGCCCUCAAUCAAAUUUAUUAUGACUUUUUGAAAAUAUCUCUAAGUAAAUAUAUAGAAAAUGAGGAAUGAACAUAGGGGAGGGCUUUUGGAAUUUAUACUACUAUUCUUUCAAAAAAUAUUACUCGUCUCCAUGUUGCAGUUAGGAAUACGCUUCCUUAAGACAGAGUCAUUAUCUUUACUUGUUAUUUAAAUCUUGAUAUCACCUCCUAUAGUUUUUGAAAGACAUCACUCUUCAAGUUGUCUUCAAUGGCACAAACUAUACCUGUGCAUUUUCUGAAACAAGUUUGACCAUACCAGCAAAGGCAAUGAAAAUGCUUUGUCUUUCAGCAUGAAAUGUGAAGUCUACAUUAUUAGUGGGUAUAUAUGGCCCAAGGGAAGAAAAUGUUGAAGUAGAUUUAAAAACAAAAACAAAAUCACUCACACUCUAAAAGAAUGUCUCAGUAUUUCAAGGCUCUUCUCUCUCUCUGUGUUAAAACCAAUAAGGAGGCCUCAGGACAAGUUAGGUUGAUAAUGACAGUGAAUAUCUACCUUUCUCCCCAUUCCGUUUGACAUCCAUACUCCAAAAGACCUUCCCUUAUUUGCUAUGCAUGGGUAGCAGGGAGAUUAUAGAGAAACUGUUCUUUUUCCUGCUUUCUUUUUUUACUGCUGGGGGAGUGAUCACUUUCCUACAGCUCUUGUCCACCUGGCCCUUGAGGCGUUUGGAGUUUUGGUAAGGUGUUAACAAAAAUUGUCUCAGGUGCCAACUAAAUUUCAUAAGCUUAUAGCAGCACAACAGACUAAGACACCACAUGGGAAAUGUACAUUUUACAAAAAUAUAUUAUACAUCUACCAUGUCUACCAUGUGCCUUAGAGAGUUCUGGGUCUGGUAAUACAGCAGUGAAUAAAGUCCCCGCUCACAUGGAGCGGGUAGGCUGAUGGUGAUGGAACUCAUAAGUAUACGGCAGGUGUUAGUAAACACUGCGGAGAAAAAUAAAGCUGUGUCAGAGAGAGAGUACCUGGGGAUCAGGGGUAGAGCGACGUUAACCAGGGCUAAUAGGAAGGCCUCUUUGAUGUUAUUAGGCCAGUGAGGAAUCAGCUGUGGGAGUGUCUGGAGGAAGAGGAUUCCAGGCAGAGAAAAUAAAAAAGUAACUGCAGUAGAGACGGGAGCAGGCUUUGUGUGUCCAAGAGACACAUCAUGGCAGAUCAGGUAGGACUCUGUUGGCCACAGUAAGAAGCUGUUUGGAAGGUAGGAAAUGAUAACUAGAGAGAGUGAAGAUGGUAUUCUGAGAGUCUAUGUGAUUUAUUGUAGGGAUCCCGGAGAGUCGAGCCCCUUGUGCCUCAUAACUGGAGUGUUUACAAGCCGUGUAAGGCCUUCUUGCAGUAAAAUGCUACUUUUGUAAUUUAAAUUAUUAUGCUAUGAAAACCUUAGCAAAGAUAGAUAAAGUUGAACUAUUUGAAGCACAAUUACAGCUAAAAAGCGCAAAGUGGGCAAUUCUUCCUAUCACAUCUACUCCUCAGAGAGAUGUGGGGUACCUGAAUGUCUAACUGUGGAAUGUUUUGAUUUGAUUUAAAUUUGCCAAAAACUCAUCUUCCAUAAGGCAUAUCUUUGCUGAUUUUUGCACUCAGUAACAAGCAGUUUAGAAUUUUGAACUGAAGGGAUUUUAAAUCCAUGUUUAAAGUGCUUUCAUUUUAAAAUAAUUCUUAGUUUUAUGUUCAGUCAGAUGAUAAGCUCCUUUUUAAAAUUCUGUAUGAAAACUUACUGUUUGGUACAGGUUAAGAAGUCUUGUUAUACAGUACUUAUUUUAUUGGAGGUACAAAGAGAGUGUGGAAAAAUAAAGGCAAUUGGCCAGGUGGGAAGGGUAAAAUUGUUUUAUGUACCUUUUCUCUUGUAAAGUUGUGUUAAAAACAUUUUUGUAAUUUCUUAAAGGUAGAGUUGAUUGCCAUAAUUUGAUUGCAGCCCCCUGUCAUUACUUCACUAUUAUACUCGGAUACUAAAUGCCCCUUACUAAAUCUAAGGAAAUGGGCAAGUUCUGUCAUCUGGGAGUUUACAUGUUAAGAGACAUUGCACGGGUGAGAACAGACAUAAAAUGUAUAUGUAAUUAUAUCGACAACAUACAGGGCUUAGAAAGGGGCUUGAUAGCCUUUUAUAGGUGUCGUCCAGGUUUAUCUUACUUGAAAUACUGCCUGAGACUCUAUACCUAAUUCUUAUCACAUAGCCUUUCUAUUAGUCAAUGAUAGAUUUGGGUUGGGUUAACCCUCAUAUUCUUUUAGCAAGGGACCCACCUGCAGAAAAGAGUUAUUAUUGGUUUUGUCAUUUAUAGUUUAGUUCAACAAGACCGGAUUUCCUCACCGCCUUUGGCUGAAACUGACUGACUAAAUCAGUUUCACUUGUGGGGUAGAGAAAUGAGUAAUUUGGGAACAUAGAGUGUUGUGUGGAGGAGAGCUUAGUUUGCUCCUCUUCAUCCUCCCCUUAGGUAAGAAGUCUGCAUUGAGAGAGGGAGAAAGAUUUGGGACAUCAUGGGGAAACUGACCCCCUUGGGUGAGACACAUUGGGAAUUAAGAGAAAGAUGUAAAAAUGGACCAGGAGAGGAUGUACAGAAGCCCCAGGGGAGCCAGAGAAUUUCUGGUCCUAAGCUCAAGUGUCAGCCUCAGUUCUGCCUAGCAUCUUGGACAUGCUGUCCCUGCUGGCUUAUCUCCUGUAAGACAAGGGGCAUACUCCUGACUUACUGAGCAUCCCAUCUCAGAGGAGCUGGGAGUACAAGGAAUUCAGGAAUGGACUUUCAAGACAACAUCUAACCCGAGUCUUCUGCAGACAUUUCUCUACUGAAUCUACUUUCUAAGUGUAGAUUAGUGUCUAAGAGAUAGACAUUAAGUUUCUUUUUCUACCAGCCUCUGACCCCCUUGCUUUGAGGAAAACACAUGUGUUGUCCACGAAGUGGUGAGUUCUGUUUGGUCCUUCCUCUAAGAUUGGUCCGGGGCUUGAGCCGUUUUGCCCCAUGUGCUCUGGGAUUUCCCCCGGUUGUCCCCCCAUAUAAGUAGACAACUUGCUGUCUGUGUUCUAAGACCUUCAUAUUUUUCCCUUUGACUUGAGUCUGUUCUGGAACAAUUGUGUGGUGGCUGGGCACUGCAAAAUGAGUCAGUUCCUGCAGUUUGGUUACAAGUUCUCAAAAAGUAUUUCAGAAUGUGGAUGUGGUCAGCAGAGUCAUUUUCCAGACAUCUAAAAGGAAACCCACAUCAACUGUAACAAUUGAGCUACGAACCGAUGGCUCUACACAACCGAAUGGGGCCUGCUUUUCCUCAAAGCCUGUAGGUGCCCUCAAAUCUAGCAUUCUCUAUGGAUCGGAAAGGAGAAUUCAUCUUCAUGCUUGUAGAUCACAUUUUAUCUGUUACUGUUGACAUAAAAAAAUGCGAUAGAGGUUUUGGCCUUCAUCACCUUUUGAAUGUGGGCACAAAUUUGACAUAAGAAAUAAUUAGUAAAAUGGAAUCUAUGGGAUUAGAGUAUAAUUAGUGCAAAGUGUGAAAUGUGGCUUAGGGAUAGAUGCUUGGGUAAUUGAACUAAUGCACGAAGGAGAGGUUAAGAUGGUUUGGGUACCGAUAGAGUACAUCGAAAUAUGCUUAUUUGGUUUACUAAUAGUCUGAACCUGUGCAGACUUAGCAGCAAUACUGAUAAAAUAUCAUUAAAUCCUUUUCAAGCUUUAAAAGAAGUUCAGAUUUGUCAUAACAUUUGGAGAAUAUUUUCGCUCCACACAAGUUUUGGAAAAUAAUCUUUGUGAAUUUUUUUAUCCUCUUGGGUAUCAUGAAUUGUAAAAUUUUGUUGCAGUUCUCAGUUACCAGUCUUGCUCCACUCAUUAAAACUGAUGGCAUUUUCAAUAAUAAGAAAACAAAAUUUAAAAAUGGGUAAACGAUUUGAACAGACACUUCACCACAGAAGAUACGCAAAUGGCAGAUAAGCACAAGAAAAAAUCUUUUCAAUGUCAUUAGUGAAACACAAGUCAAAACCACAGUGAGGUACUGCUACACACCUAUCUGAAUGGCUAAAAUUUAAGAAGCCAGCCAUGCCAACUGUUGGUAAGGAUGUGUAGGAUUUAGAACUCUCAUGUAAAAUGAUACAAACAUGUCAAACAUACACCUAUCAUAUGAUUCAGCUGUUUCACUCCCAGAGAAAAGAAAGCAUGUGCUCACCUGAAGACUCGUACGUGAAUAUGCAUAGUAGUUUUAUUAGUAAUAGCUAAAAGCUGGAAACAAUCCUAAUGUCUAUCAACAGGUAAAUGGAUAAACAAAUUGUGGUGUAUCUGUAUGAUGGAUACUACUCAAUAAUAAGAAGGAAUGAACUAUUGAUACCUUCAAUAACAUGGAUGACCCUAACCCAUGAGAGUCAUAUCAUAUGAUUCCAUGUAUACAGAAUUCUGGAAAAUGUGAAAGCAGAUCAGUGGUUACCUGGGGUAGGGGAGAUGGGGGUGGCAAGAAAGGGGUUACAAAAAGGCCCGAGAAAACUUCCGGGCUGGUGGAUAAUUUCUGUCUUGUGUUGAUGGUUUCAUGGGUGUAUAUAUGUCAAAACUUAUCAAAUUAUACAAUUUGAAUAUGUGCAGUUUAUCGUAUGUCAGUUAUUCCUUAAUUCUUAAAAAAAACUUAAAAUAAGAAAUCAUUGUUAUAGUAGAUGGAAGGCUUUAAAAUGCCCUUAUUUGGCAAAAUCAGCAUUUCUUGGGGGGAGGGGGGAACCUGAUAGAGUUUUAAUGGUUUGAGGACAGAAAUACGACCUUCUAGUACAGAUGAGAAACCAAAGUUAAACAGUGAACAUAAUAAAUGGGAUCUCUUUAGUCCCUUUUGUUUACAAAGCAUUUGAACAAGUGGUUCAGGAAGUAUCUUUUCCAGCAUGGUGGUUCCAGCUGCCUGCCCGACUUCUAAGCAUUAGCACUUAAACAAACUUACUGUAGCAGUCUACCGUGCAAUGUGGCUAAGACAUCCAAAGUUGCUGUGUUCAGAUUGCAAAGAUAAGACAUGAAAAUCCCCACUUUCAGAUUCUAUCAUUGUUGGAGAAAUAAAUCUCUCAUAUUUACACAGUGCAUGAAAAUUUAUGUAUUUCCAGCUGUAUUGAGGUAUAAUUGACAAAUAAAUUGUAUAUAUUCACAGUGUGCAAUAUGAUGUUUUGGUAUAUGUAUACAUUGUGAAAGGAUUACCACAAUCAAGCUAAUUAGCGUAUGUAUCACCUCACAUAGUUAUCUUUUGUGGUGAGAACGUUUUAAGAUUUUUCUCUCUUAGCAAAUUUCAGGUAUAUGAUGUAGAAUUAUUAACUAUAAAGUAUUUUCAUAAACCUCAUCCUGUGAAAUCCUUUCAAUGGUCCUAUUACAGGUAGGAUCAGUAUUAUCCUCGUUUGCUUUGGCAGCAAACUGAGACCCAGAGAAGCCAAGCUACUUGGCCAGGAAUACAGAGCCCCCAUCUUCUUGCUCAGAAAUCACCAUUCUAACUACUACACUUUGCUUCUUCCUCAAACUAUUGUCAUUGAGUGUUUGGCUAAGACUCUUCACUCACCAAUUUGUCAGGUAGUUAUUAGAGUUCCUUUUUAAAAAUAUGAGAUGUUCAAGAUGAUAAUUCCCUCUAAUCCUCUGUUUCCCCGUUUCUAAAUGGGUAAUAACACAGCCACCAGCUUCCCAAGUUUGUGACCCUUACACGUGGAAGAGUCAUGAAAAGUGGGCAACUCUGUGUACCCAGUGGGUGUUGAUGUUACUGUGUGACUGCCCUCUUUGUUCCUGGGUUACUGAUCACACAGUACUGAGUGGCUUUGCAAACCCAACAGGGAGACAUAGCAGUUUAGUUAACAUUAGUUGCCCUAUAGCUUCCUUCAGAAUUGGAAAGUUGCACAAUAAGAAAUCCUAUGUACUGGAUUAUUUUAAAUUCUUCUUUAAAGGACACUAAACCAUCAUUAGUUGGGUCCCAGAGACUCACCAAACAGAGCUUAGAGGCAGAUACCAUUGAGGUUUACUUAGCUAACAAGAUUGACCCAUGUCUGGCAUCCUCCUUUUCUCCUUGGUUGUGUUGCCUGUACAUCUCUCCUCCUUAUUCUUCAUCAUUUUCGAUGGCCUUCUCUCUUCACUAGCCCUCUAACACACUUUAGAAAAUGUUUUGUUUUUUUUUUAAAUAACUAUUUGAUGUAUUGGCAAAAUGAGCAGUUUUCCUGAGAGUUCUCUGUCUGUCCCGACUGGCACUUCUUUUUUUUUUUUUUUUUUUUCUUUUUUCAUAUAUUGAUUUCUUUUAAAUUAAAUUAAAUUUUUUAAAAUUUCUGUUGGUUUUGGGGGAACAGGUGGUGUUUGGUUACAUGAGUAAGUUUUUCAGUGGUGAUUUGUGAGAUUUGGGUGUACCCAUCACCCGAGCAGUAUACACUGUACCCAAUUUUUAGUUUUUUUUUUUUUUGAGACAAGUCUCACUCUGUCACCCAGGCAGGAGUGCAGGGGUGCAAUCUCGGCUCACUGCAAGCUCCGCCUCCCGGGUUCAUGCCAUUCUCCUGCCUCAGCCUCCUGAGUAGCUGGGACUACAGGCACCCGCCACCACACUCGGCUAAUUUUUUGUAUUUUUAGUAGAGACGGGGUUUCACCGUGUUAACCAGGAUGGUCUCGAGCUCCUGACCUUGUGAUCCGCCCACCUUGUCCUCCCAAAGUGCUGGGAUUACAGGCGUGAGCCACCACGCGCAGCCCCAAUUUGUAGUAUUUUAUCCCUCACCCGCCUCCCACCCUUUCCCCGAAGUCUCCAAAGUCCAUUGUAUCAUUCUGGCACCUCUAAAACCAGACAUGAUUUGUUUUCUUGACUUCGGCUUGAGAGUUCCAAUUUCUAACUCUAAUGGACUUUAAUCUUAGAAAAUCAGGGGAUAUAAUCAUAUGGUAGUGCAAAGAGUAUCAAAUUUUGUCUAAGGAUGACAAUCAAAGGGAGCCCUAUUUUUUUGUUUUGUUUUUCAUCAAAUCCUCGAAUUUAUUCCAUCCCUAAUUCCGUGGUCCUUCAUGGCAUUCAUAGGGGCAGCUGUGAAGAAAAGUGGUAAUGUACCUGACGACUCUCUCCUGUCGGUGUCAGGGUUGCAUUUACUAUUACUGAUCCCAGUAAUAGGAUGAGUUUGAUCUCUCAGCAUGAAAAGAAUGACCAUAUUAGGGAUUUGUUUGUUCUCCAGACUACAGAAAGUUUGAUAACCAGAGUAGGACUUACUGGAGAGAUAAUGUCAGAAUGAAUAGAGACUGUCUGUGAGAAAUUUGAACGGGCUCAGUGCUGUUACCUACUAGCUAGAAAUGGGAAGCAAGGGGAUGAAUGUGAGGUUGGGGGCAUUGAGUCAAGAAGAAGAUCAGGCAAUUCUGGAGCUAGGUAAAUUGGGAUCAUUCCUGGCUUGUCACAUCUACGUGGGACAUUUAGACUAUCCACGGGCUGGAUACCUUAGGAAAGUUCCUUCUGGCUCUGGGACUCACUGCUCUUUCAGCAUUGCCAAUUUACAUCUAGUGUGUUCUUGUUAGAAGUGGAAGGCUCCUCUUCAUUUUUGAGCUCCUUGCGCCCUGUCAUUUUCUCUGUAUGAGAGGGUUUUGCUAUUCCUUUUUGAGUGAAAACGACUCCCAUAGCAUAUUGCCAUUCACACUCCA